This is a long non-coding RNA of Rosa chinensis, 822 nucleotides long. RefSeq lists it as uncharacterized. The transcript is spliced from 6 exons. The record is from RefSeq and is a predicted model, not a curated record. NCBI's taxonomy places the organism in Eukaryota, Viridiplantae, Streptophyta, Magnoliopsida, Rosales, Rosaceae.
GUGGUGUAAACUUAAACCCCUAUGUGUGCAGUCAGGCCUUGGAGCAGAAGCAAGAUGUAGACGUUGAAUAAGGUGAGAACAUGUAGGAACUUCCGUACAAUCCAAGGAGUUGUCUUGUGAACCAGAAUAUGCUUGAAUAAGAGGGAUAAGUCAAGGACAGCCUCAAAGAUGCAAAUUUGGCAAGGUUAUACACACGCAGGUGUGGUUUCCUUAUCAGUUUGGUUUUGUCGUGAAACAAUCUUUGAAGCCUUGCAAAGGUGGAAUGGAAGAGCUCCCUCUGAUGGCCUACUCCUGGGCUUCUGUAUUGUCUUGAUGGGCUUGGCUUGUGUCCCUAUUGUGGCUCUCCACUUCUCUCAUGUCUUGGAAGAAGAUCCAGGUUGCUAUUCAAGGGCAUCUAACUCUGUUUUUGAGCCUGUGGUAGAUGUACAAAUGAAUCUAUGUGGACUCAUGGCUGACAAAAUGGGGGACAUGCUGCCCCGUGUGCAAGCAUGAUAUGAGAACAAAAUCUGUGAAUCCUGAGAUCAAGAGAAGGACCUGGUUGGACGAUUCAUGAAUGUAUUUAUGAAUGUCAAGAUAUCAAGUGGGAGAGGAGAGGCAACAACCAAUACACCCAAGCGGAUCAAGUGCGAAAUGAGUGGGGGAAGUUUGUUGUCAACACGUGCAUAAGCCAUGAAGUAGCGCGCUUGUUGCUGGUACAUUUUUGCUAAAGAAAGCAUCUUUUUUGUGCUUCUCUGCUGGUAGAUUGUCAUGCACCAUGUGUGGCAUGUUUUGGAACAAUAGAUAUAUAUGUAUCAACUUUUUGAUGUCCCAAGUAGAUGGGCA